AAAGUAUAGAUGCAAAUGGAUAUCCUAUGGAAUUGUAUUUGAAAAGGUAAUCUAAAAAUACAUCAUUAGCUUGUCUCUACUUGCAAAAAUACUAGAGUACAAAACUUAAUAUUUUAAAUUCUAAGUUCAUUUUUGUUGGCAAGAGUCAUCUACAUCAAAGGUUGGAGUCAUUUAUAUCCUGCCUCACAUUCAUCAUAUCUAGAAGCUUCAGCUUAACCUUUUCAAAGGAAAUUUCUAGGUUCUUUAGCUCUUCUUUGGCAAAUCUAUUACAAAGGAAUAACCCACUAAACAGAUCAAAGCUAUCCUUCACAGUGACCUCUUUUAAUUGAACAAGUGACUCAAAGCCUUUUGUACUUAUAGGUGUGGAUUUGAUCUCCAUUUCUGACAAUACCCUGCCUAUGGUAUGAGUAAGAAAUUGACUUCUAGCCGCCAUUUUAUCAUGCUCUUCACAAGACAUCUCCAGCAUUCUGCAUCCCUCAUUUUCGAAAAUUCUCAGAAAACUUGAGCAUGUAGCUUCAUCCUUCACUCUAACCUUGUCGUAGACAAAGGCUAGAUCUUUCCACCCAUCUUUCGCACUCUCAGGUCCAAACAUAGGGUGAGUACACAGUAUAUCUGAUUCCUCUGGCAGUACCUAAAGGAUACAUAGUUACACAUGCCUUUUAAUACUCAUAGGAAUUUUGUUAGCCAUGAAGAUUACAAAACAUUCUCAACUCUAUUAGUACUUUCAAUAGAAGAUCUCUUGGGUACUCUUUCACCGAUAAAACGUCGGCAAAGAGGGUUUGCCGUUUUAGACCAUGGAGUGGCAUUGACUUGAGCACCUCUGGUAGAGAUAGGAUUGAUGUGCAAAUCAAGAUGACAUCGUUGUCUGCUUCAAGAAAUGUGAUUGCAUCCCUGAAGUAUGAGAUACCCAAGUCUUGACAGAGCUGAGAGUGAUCUGAACGAGAAGUUGCCCUCAAUGUAUGGCCUUGUUUGAUCAUGGUUUUCGCCAAGAACUGUGCAAAGGGGCCAAAGCCUAUUAUGCCUAUUUUAAGAGUUGAAGAUUGGCAAGAAGAUGAAGUAGACAUGGUGGUGGUGGUGGUGUUUCAG
RNAcentral lists this unclassified non-coding RNA (1086 nucleotides) under Hevea brasiliensis (rubber tree). Lineage: Eukaryota; Viridiplantae; Streptophyta; Magnoliopsida; Malpighiales; Euphorbiaceae. The record is from RNAcentral.